GGCUUCUUUAAAUAAGCGAGCUAUGGCGAGGAGAAAUGGGCUCCCCGUUGCUGCUCUAACCGUACUCCAGUUGAUCUAUUAAUAAUCUUGAUUGCCACCAUCCAUAUCCUGCAAAUGGUUUGGAUCGUUGCAGGAAGACCUGGCCCUAUUUACCUCCCUAACACUCCAGUUGCUGGCCCACGCAAACACAGAUUUUUGCCUCCAACUUGUGACGUUCGUUCACUCGGCUGUGACAUUGACCCGUGAUCAUGUGAGCAAAAUAAACCGUAAGAGAGUCUGAAGAUUCAAAUCAGGCCGUUAAUGACUAA
Carya illinoinensis is the source of this 308-nucleotide long non-coding RNA. RefSeq lists it as uncharacterized. Lineage: Eukaryota; Viridiplantae; Streptophyta; Magnoliopsida; Fagales; Juglandaceae. The transcript has 2 exons. The record is from RefSeq and is a predicted model, not a curated record.